This 253-nucleotide ribosomal RNA is filed under the name uncultured bacterium. Its description in RNAcentral is "partial 16S ribosomal RNA". It matches the Rfam family "Bacterial small subunit ribosomal RNA", at positions 524 to 776 of the family's 1533-position model. The record is from RNAcentral.
UACGGGGGGGGCAAGCGUUGUUCGGAAUUACUGGGCGUAAAGGGUUUGUAGGUGGCUUGUUAAGUCAGACGUGAAAUCCCUCAGCUUAACUGGGGAACUGCGUCUGAUACUGGUGAGCUUGAGUGCAGGAGAGGAACGCGGAAUUCCAGGUGUAGCGGUGAAAUGCGUAGAUAUCUGGAGGAACACCGGUGGCGAAGGCGGCGUUCUGGACUGCAACUGACACUGAAAAACGAAAGCCAGGGGAGCAAACGGG